AAGAUCAAAUCCACUUUAUUGGAUGAAUUUUCAGCAGUGCAAUGCUGUUCUUUUUAAUGAGAAGAUUGACAAGUCUUACACAGGGAGGAAGAGAUUUGACAUAGGAGUUUAAGGAGAUGUGUUUAGCAAAAACCAAGUUGAGCAGUAUAAGUGGCUUCUUCCCCAAAGCAAUAAUUCCCCAUCUAAUCUCUUUUCACAGCUCAUUAAUUCCCUAAGAAUCAGAAAAAGGUGUUUCCCAAUUGUCCUGCCGUGGGAGAACAUUGCUGGUGGAUGGAAGCUGACGUCCACAGCACAGCACACAGGGGCGGCCAGGAGAGCUUGUUCAACCUGACCUGGGAACGGGCGUCUUUGGGCAAGGCCAUGGAGACCUAGCAGGUGUCGGAUGGAUGCUGCAAGCAUGAGUGGAGGGGACUUAUCUUCUUUUGAGCUCCUGGAGGCUUCACCCUUACAGGGGACGGUUCCAGAGCACACAGAAGUUGAAGCAGGAAGUUAGCUCCCAAGGCUUUAGGGUCUGACCGAUGAGAAUGUUCUUUGGGAUUUUGGAAAUGCUGAGGCUUGUGAGUAGCCACCUCGCAGCCAGCCUGGCUCCCCUCUCUGUGACCCAUCAGAGGUGAUAUGUGGGCUAAGAACCGUGUGGCUAACGGCUG
Molecule: long non-coding RNA, 647 nt
Filed under: Bos taurus (domestic cattle)
Lineage: Eukaryota; Metazoa; Chordata; Mammalia; Artiodactyla; Bovidae
Description: long non-coding RNA NONBTAT017546
Source: RNAcentral